GGAGACUCUUUUUACCCGGACGGCCCCUUCCUGCCAUUUGGGGGGAGGCGUUUGAAAAGGGGUUCCCCCUCCCGUUUUACGAACGCCUCGUAGUCUCGCGCGUGUCAGUGAAAUAAAAAUCGAAACACAACUUUCAACAACGGAUCUCUUGGCUUUCGCAUCGAUGAAGAACGCCGCGAACGCGCGAAACGUAAUGUGAAUUGCAGAAUUCAGUGAAUCAUCGAAUCUUUGAACGCACCUUGCGCUCCUCGGUAUUCCGAGGAGCAUGCCUGUUUGAGUGUCGUGAAGUCUCAUCGAAAGGGGGAGACCCCUUUCGGACUUGGACGGUCUUGCCCUCGCCCCCUGCGGUCGAAGGCUCGUCUUCAAAUUCAUCGGCGAGGUUACGUCCCCUCACACGCCCCCCUCUAGACGUGAUAAGUCUUGCGUCGUCCGGGUUGGGAAAGGGAGGGGAUCCGUCCGCCAUUCCGUUCCGUCAUUCAAACGCCUGACCUCAAAUCAGGCAGGAUACCCCCUUA
RNAcentral lists this ribosomal RNA (515 nucleotides) under Phallus sp. 1 LL-2013. RNAcentral's name for it is "eukaryotic LSU rRNA". The stretch from base 129 to 283 matches the Rfam family "5.8S ribosomal RNA". Lineage: Eukaryota; Fungi; Basidiomycota; Agaricomycetes; Phallales; Phallaceae. The record is from RNAcentral.